This 223-nucleotide unclassified non-coding RNA is filed under the name plant metagenome. Its description in RNAcentral is "partial contains small subunit ribosomal RNA, internal transcribed spacer 1, and 5.8S ribosomal RNA". The record is from RNAcentral.
UUUCCGUAGGUGAACCUGCGGAAGGAUCAUUAAAGAGAAUAUGCCCUUCGGGGUAGAUCUCCCACCCUUUGUUUAUAUUACCUUUGUUGCUUUGGCAGGCCCGUCUUCGGACCACCGGCUUCGGCUGGUCAGUGCUUGCCAGAGGACCCAAAACUCUUAUUAUUAAUGUCAUCUGAGUACUAUAUAAUAGUUAAAACUUUCAACAACGGAUCUCUUGGUUCUG